Molecule: long non-coding RNA, 671 nt
Organism: Acinonyx jubatus (cheetah)
Lineage: Eukaryota; Metazoa; Chordata; Mammalia; Carnivora; Felidae
Exons: 2
Source: RefSeq, a predicted model, not a curated record
UCUCCUUGAGGGAAGAAGUAACCUCUUUGGGGGUGGGACCCACGUGCUUUGCCGUUUCUGUCAACGGUGCCAGGCCGAGCCCGGCACCGGGGACGCGGGCCGACCAGAGAGCGCCGUCGCGGUUGAUGAACACGGAUCCAAAUCUCCCCAGGGAAGGGGAAGGAGGGCGAGUCUGGCAUCCGAUCCUGGCCCGGCAGAAGAUGGCCGUGUGACCUCCAGCUCGCCGUUAGCCUCUCUGAGCCCUGAGGUUCUGAGGCACCCAGCGAUGGGAGGUGCCCAGAAGGCAGCGCGCGUGUGGCCUGUCGUCGGCUGGCCCCGUAGAGGCUAACUCUCCGUUUUAGCCCCGAACGGUGAUGCCAAGCCUGGCCGCCUAAUGGCCUCAUGAUGUUGAACUCUGCAGAGACAAAACCAAAUGUCAAGGUCGUUCCCCCCACGCAGGUGUGAGGGCGAAUUCACGUCAGGUGGUUAUGCUGUGCGGGCAGCACUGGGAGCCAGGAAGGAGGAAGGAGCAAAGGGCUGGGAUCCGGAGACGUCCUCUGUUGACUUCUUGCUUGGUGCCGGACCCGCUCCAGUGUUCCUCUGAAGUUUGACGUUUUCUUGCAAAUGUCUGGGGAAGAUUAAAGAAGCACGCGCACGAGCGAGCAUGAACGCACGCGCGGUGGCUGCGAAGG